CAGCCGCCGCGGUAAAACGAAGGGGGCUAGCGUUGCUCGGAAUGACUGGGCGUAAAGGGCGCGUAGGCGGUUUUGACAGUCAGAUGUGAAAUUCCUGGGCUUAACCUGGGGGCUGCAUUUGAGACGUCAAGACUAGAGUGUGAGAGAGGGUUGUGGAAUUCCCAGUGUAGAGGUGAAAUUCGUAGAUAUUGGGAAGAACACCGGUGGCGAAGGCGGCAACCUGGCUCAUUACUGACGCUGAGGCGCGAAAGCGUGGGGAGCAAACAGGAUUAGAUACCCCCGUAGUCCCUGUCUCUUAUAC
This 301-nucleotide ribosomal RNA is filed under the name uncultured bacterium. RNAcentral's name for it is "partial 16S ribosomal RNA". It matches the Rfam family "Bacterial small subunit ribosomal RNA", at positions 509 to 807 of the family's 1533-position model. The record is from RNAcentral.